GACGAACGCUGGCGGCGUGCUUAACACAUGCAAGUCGAGCGGUAAGGCCCUUCGGGGUACGACGAGCGGCGAACGGGUGAGUAACACGUGGGUGACCUGCCUCUAGCUCUGGGAUAAGCCUGGGAAACUGGGUCUAAUACCGGAUAUGACUCCACGGCGCAUGUUGUGGGGUGGAAAGCCUUGUGUGGCUAGAGAUGGGCCCGCGGCCUAUCAGCUUGUUGGUGGGGUGANGGCCUACCAAGGCGACGACGGGUAGCCGGCCUGAGAGGGCGACCGGCCACACUGGGACUGAGACACGGCCCAGACUCCUACGGGAGGCAGCAGUGGGGAAUCUUGCGCAAUGGGCGAAAGCCUGACGCAGCGACGCCGCGUGAGGGA
Molecule: ribosomal RNA, 378 nt
Filed under: uncultured bacterium
Lineage: Bacteria
Description: bacterial SSU rRNA
Rfam family: Bacterial small subunit ribosomal RNA
Source: RNAcentral